Molecule: long non-coding RNA, 920 nt
Organism: Aphis gossypii (cotton aphid)
Lineage: Eukaryota; Metazoa; Arthropoda; Insecta; Hemiptera; Aphididae
Exons: 3
Source: RefSeq, a predicted model, not a curated record
AUGGACUGCAGUCUUCAGUCCACGGCCGCACAACAAAGUACAAGGACCAAAUGCGAUCUGUGAAAUUUGAAUGACAACCAAAUAGCACCAAUCACGUAUACCUUCAAAAUUGAGAAAAUUAGUCAACAGAAAAAUAAGUUUCCGUAUCGUUUCAUAAACUUUUAGGUUCGAUGCCGAUUCAUUAAUACAUAAUGUUUUCAGAUAUCUACUACAUUGCAAAAUCAACACCGAAAAGGUCCUACAGUCUUGACGAUGAUUACGAUAUUAUAUUGCCGCCGUGGUACGACCUCUCAGCGCGAAACCGUCUACAAUAUCAUAUUACUGCUGCUGCAGUCGGUUUCGCGCAGUCGACGUCGUAAUUUCCGUUUAGUCGCGAUAAUGCGAUGUAAAACGCUGCAAAACGACCGCGACUAAUGAAACAUAACAAAAACAAAAACGUCUUUUGUCCAUGCGAAACGACGUUUUAUAUUACUAUAUUAUUAUUGUAUUAUUGUGUAAUAAGACUUACAUACGAGUCGGGUAGGCUUGAAAGCCGGGAAGUGUAUAUAGUAUAUAUAUAUAUAGUAUAAGUAUCGGUGAGUACGUUUGUCGCGUGUGUGAAGUGCGCUUGCGCGUGCUGUUUGGUAAUAUAGCAUUAUUAUGUACAUAUAUAGGUAUUGUACACCAACAUACGUAAAUAAAGUUAUUUUUUAUAUAUAUAUCAUAUAACAUUAUAUAUGUGCUCGUUCCGGUCACGCGAAGAUCAAACCGGCGCGUAUCGCGUUCGGCCCGUGACGACGUCAUAAUAUUAAUAAUAAUAAUAAUGAUAAUAUAAUGUCGCGACGUCGACGGGCGCUUUACCCGCCUUUACCCGAAUACAUGAGUAUGCACUUGGAGGACAAGCCGACAGUGGUAUACUAUUAUAUUGUUUUAUCGUUCCC